This 575-nucleotide long non-coding RNA is filed under the name Musa acuminata (dwarf banana). RNAcentral describes it as "long non-coding RNA (MACU_LNC003007)". The record is from RNAcentral. Lineage: Eukaryota; Viridiplantae; Streptophyta; Magnoliopsida; Zingiberales; Musaceae.
CUCUCUCUCUCUUUCUCAGUAUCUGUCUUCCUUCUUGUCAUCGAUCUUCACAGGCGUACGUUUGAAUUGGGUGCUCUGCAACUUCCUCAAUACUUGGAUCCCCUCUCUCUCUCUCUCUCUCCGUCGACUAUUUAGUCCAUCUCUCUUUCUCGUUCGAACCAACCAGUCGCAGUGUUUUGAUCUCCCCUUGGUAAACUUCGCUGCACAUAUGUCUCCGUGCUUGGGUGUCCUUCAAACUCCAUGAGAGAGGAAUUAAAUACUGUGAUCCCUCUCUCUCUCUCUUUCUCUCUCUCUCUUCCGGCACUUCACCAAAUUCUGAGUUGGGUGUCCUACCAAACUGCAUAAAAUAGGACCAUCCAUAACUCUUCCUUUCGGGGAUCUCUCUCCCACUCCAACUCUUCAGCCCCAUGCACAUCAACGCUUGAAUCUUGGGUGCUCUACGGACAUCUAGAAAAAUGGAGGUCGAAGCUUGAGUCUCCCUUGGGAUCCUUCAUCUGCCACUCUUUGAGCCAUAAAAGCAUUUAUAAUUGCUUGUUCUUGGAAGCGAUUCAGAGGUGUACUGAGUUUGUGGUGCU